UAUNGGUCAAUGGACGAGAGUCUGAACCAGCNAAGUAGCGUGAAGGAUGACUGCCCUAUGGGUUGUAAACUUCUUUUAUAUGGGAAUAAAGUUUGGUAUGUAUACCAUUUUGUAUGUACCAUAUGAAUAAGGAUCGGCUAACUCCGUGCCAGCAGCCGCGGUAAUACGGAGGAUCCGAGCGUUAUCCGGAUUUAUUGGGUUUAAAGGGAGCUUAGGUGGAUUGUUAAGUCAGUUGUGAAAGUUUGCGGCUCAACCGUAAAAUUGCAGUUGAAACUGGCAGUCUUGAGUACAGUAGAGGUGGGCGGAAUUCGUGGUGUAGCGGUGAAAUGCUUAGAUAUCACGAAGAACUCCGAUUGCGAAGGCAGCCUGCUGGACUGUAACUGACGCUGAUGCUCGAAAGUGUGGGUAUCAAAC
Molecule: ribosomal RNA, 414 nt
Filed under: uncultured bacterium
Lineage: Bacteria
Description: bacterial SSU rRNA
Rfam family: Bacterial small subunit ribosomal RNA
Source: RNAcentral